This 762-nucleotide ribosomal RNA is filed under the name uncultured fungus. Its description in RNAcentral is "eukaryotic LSU rRNA". It matches the Rfam family "Eukaryotic large subunit ribosomal RNA", at positions 30 to 821 of the family's 3401-position model. Lineage: Eukaryota; Fungi. The record is from RNAcentral.
GAACUUAAGCAUAUCAAUAAGCGGAGGAAAAGAAACCAACAGGGAUUGCCUCAGUAACGGCGAGUGAAGCGGCAACAGCUCAAAUUUGAAAUCUGGCCGCAAGGUCCGAGUUGUAAUUUGUAGAGGAUGCUUUUGGCGAGGUGCCUUCCGAGUUCCCUGGAACGGGACGCCAUAGAGGGUGAGAGCCCCGUACGGUAGGACCACCAAGCCUCUGUAAAGCUCCUUCGACGAGUCGAGUAGUUUGGGAAUGCUGCUCUAAAUGGGAGGUGUACGUCUUCUAAAGCUAAAUACCGGCCAGAGACCGAUAGCGCACAAGUAGAGUGAUCGAAAGAUGAAAAGCACUUUGAAAAGAGGGUUAAAAAGUACGUGAAAUUGUUGAAAGGGAAGCAUUCAUGACCAGACUUGGGCUUGGUUGAACAUCCGGCGUUCUCGCCGGUGCACUCUGCCAGUCCAGGCCAGCAUCAGUUUGCCCCGGGGGAUAAAGGCGGCGGGAAUGUGGCUCCCUUCGGGGAGUGUUAUAGCCCGUCGUGUAAUGCCCUGGGGCGGACUGAGGAACGCGCUUCGGCACGGAUGCUGGCGUAAUGGUCAUCAAUGACCCGUCUUGAAACACGGACCAAGGAGUCGUCUUCGUAUGCGAGUGUUCGGGUGUCAAACCCCUACGCGUAAUGAAAGUGAACGUAGGUGAGAGCUUCGGCGCAUCACCGGCCGAUCCUGAUGUUCUCGGAUGGAUUUGAGUAAGAGCAUACGGGGCCGGACCCGAAA